UAUGCACCAAAAAAGACGGUUUUACAAUAAAUAUU
Molecule: small RNA, 35 nt
Filed under: Arabidopsis thaliana (thale cress)
Lineage: Eukaryota; Viridiplantae; Streptophyta; Magnoliopsida; Brassicales; Brassicaceae
Description: ATSL209510
Source: RNAcentral